GACAUCAUCUGCAUCUACGACAGU
RNAcentral lists this microRNA (24 nucleotides) under Ananas comosus (pineapple). Its description in RNAcentral is "microRNA s0148_c063". The record is from RNAcentral. Lineage: Eukaryota; Viridiplantae; Streptophyta; Magnoliopsida; Poales; Bromeliaceae.